UACGUAGGGUCCGAGCGUUGUCCGGAAUUAUUGGGCGUAAAGGGCUCGUAGGCGGUUCGUCACGUCGGGAGUGAAAACUCGGAGCUUAACUCCGAGCCUGCUUCCGAUACGGGCAGACUAGAGGUAGGCAGGGGAGAGCGGAACUCCUGGUGUAGCGGUGGAAUGCGCAGAUAUCAGGAAGAACACCCGUGGCGAAAGCGGCUCUCUGGAACGGUACUGACGCUGAGACGCGAAAGCGUGGGGAGCGAACAGG
Molecule: ribosomal RNA, 253 nt
Filed under: uncultured bacterium
Lineage: Bacteria
Description: partial 16S ribosomal RNA
Rfam family: Bacterial small subunit ribosomal RNA
Source: RNAcentral